CAGCCGCCGCGGUAAUACGUAGGGUGCAAGCGUUAAUCGGAAUUACUGGGCGUAAAGCGUGCGUAGGCGGCUUUUUAAGUCGGAUGUGAAAUCCCUGAGCUUAACUUAGGAAUUGCAUUCGAUACUGGGAAGCUAGAGUAUGGGAGAGGAUGGUAGAAUUCCAGGUGUAGCGGUGAAAUGCGUAGAGAUCUGGAGGAAUACCGAUGGCGAAGGCAGCCAUCUGGCCUAAUACUGACGCUGAGGUACGAAAGCAUGGGGAGCAAACAGGAUUAGAGACCCCCGUAGUCCCUGUCUCUUAUAC
Molecule: ribosomal RNA, 301 nt
Filed under: uncultured bacterium
Lineage: Bacteria
Description: partial 16S ribosomal RNA
Rfam family: Bacterial small subunit ribosomal RNA
Source: RNAcentral